UCUUCUCCACUGUCUUCCUUUGAAGUCGCCGCGGUCCGUUGAAGUCGUCGUCGUCGUCGAUCAUUCGCCGUCAAUCAGAUUUACCGAAGAGUCUUCGAUUUCAUUUCACCAUUAUCAUCAAUUUGUUUUGCUUCUCUCUCUAUCUCCGGCCAAGGAAUCAAUUUGAAUGAAGUUGUAUUGGAGUUUUAAACUCGAUGCAGUAGUAAUUAAUAUACUUUGCAUAAUUCUGAUAUUCAUGUUUUCCAGCUAUUGAUGUUCGCUAGGUCAUUAGUUCAUUUGAUUUAUUAUUCUCUUGUUUAUGAUUAUAUGCGAUGACGCUGAGUUAUGUUGUAUUGGAAUUGUAAACUCGGUGAAGUAGGAAUAUAGUUUUUGCAACUAUUGAUCGUUCGUAUUCAUGUUUUCCAACUAUUGCUGUUUGCUAGCUAGAUCAUUGAUUCAUUUCGUUGUGAUUUCGGUUUUAUUCUCUUGCUUAUGAUUAUGUUGUGC
This is a long non-coding RNA of Impatiens glandulifera, 486 nucleotides long. RefSeq lists it as uncharacterized. The record is from RefSeq and is a predicted model, not a curated record. The transcript is spliced from 3 exons. NCBI's taxonomy places the organism in Eukaryota, Viridiplantae, Streptophyta, Magnoliopsida, Ericales, Balsaminaceae.